Panicum virgatum (switchgrass) is the source of this 1136-nucleotide long non-coding RNA. RefSeq lists it as uncharacterized. The transcript is spliced from 2 exons. The record is from RefSeq and is a predicted model, not a curated record. Lineage: Eukaryota; Viridiplantae; Streptophyta; Magnoliopsida; Poales; Poaceae.
UUUUCUAAUCCCGCGCUCGCCUUCAUCUUCCCCAAAUUUCCCCGGCGCCGUGCAGUCGCCCCAGACCCAAAUCUCAUCUGCGCGCUUGGCUCUCUCCCCAAAUUUGUGCGCGCGCUCGACUGUCUCCCCCGAAUCUUCACCCGCCUGCCCGCUGCUCCCCUCCCAAAUCCCACGAGCCGCCAAAAUCAAAUCUCACGCCCCUCUCUACCACGUCCGCGCCCGCCAGACCUUGCAGCCCCGCCGGCCGUCGCGUCCAGGAGCCGCCGCCCACGAGAGAGCAGGAGACCGGGCGGUCCCGCACUGCGAGCGCAUCCCGGAUCCGCGCCGCCCACGGGAGAGGAGGCGCGCCGCCGCGUGCCCCCGGGGCCACGCCACCCGCGGGUGAGGAGGAGCCGCGCCGCGCCGCUCCGCCCGGGAGCAGAGCUCUGCUUGUCGCCCCACCUCCUCCAAGACGAGCACAGCAGAGCAGGAGCUGCGCCGCCAACGGGAGCUCUCCAAGACAGGGCCACCCCGUCGCUGCCCCUCCACCAGAUUGGCCUCCGCCCACUCGCAGCCCUCUGCCACCUCCAGGACGAAGAGCUCCUACACCUCAGGCUCUGACGGCUUCCAGGCUCCCUUCGAUUUCAACCGGAACUCCUUCGCCUCCCCAGCUUCAACAGUCAGGAGAACUCAAUUGUGGCCAACCAACCCUAGUCCACCACCCGGCCACAUCCACCAGCACAAGUAGCAGCACCCCCAUCCAAGAAGGCAAGAUCUAUCGAUAAAUUUGUUAUCGAAUUUAAUCCUGCAAUCUUUAGUGUGAUAAAUUGGUUCAGUCCAUAUACUGAGUUUACUAAUAUCUUGUUAAACUCGUUUGCAUGUGCAUAUUCUCUAUUGGAAAGCUCAAUAGCAUCUUGCAUGCUAAAUUUGAGUUGACUAUCUGACUUUGUAUCUCCACAUAGCCACCUCCUUGGAGCAACUAGACUCAACCUGCACAAAAGCUCACCAAGAAAUCCUGUUGAGAAUGCAGAUGAGGACAUUGGUGAAGAUCAUGAUUCCGAAUCAAUUGGAGACUUCUUAUGUGACAAUGAUGCUUCUGAUUUUUAGAAUGAAUCACAAAAGAAAAGCAAAGGAAGGGGCAUCACUAGAUUGAAUGA